This 222-nucleotide long non-coding RNA is filed under the name Vigna radiata. RNAcentral describes it as "long non-coding RNA (VRAD_LNC001332)". Lineage: Eukaryota; Viridiplantae; Streptophyta; Magnoliopsida; Fabales; Fabaceae. The record is from RNAcentral.
UUGUAUGUAUAUAUAUGGUACUCUAUUCCUUGAAAUAAANCAUCAGAAUUAUUCUUUAAACUUUAAUAUGGUAUCAAGAGCCAAACACUGAUAUCCUCUACAAUAUAGGAAUUAGUGUCUCUCUUUUUGAAUAUUUCUGAUGGCUUCUUCCGAAAAAAAUCAUUCGGAGAAACAUGAUUUUGGAACUUCCGCUGCUACCCAUAUGCAUGAAUCGCUCACCCC